ACAAACGCUGGCGGCGUGCGUAAAACAUGCAAGUCGCACGGCUCUUCGGAGCAGUGGCAGACGGCUGAGUAACGCGUAGGAAUCUACCCUCCAGUGGGGAAUAACGGGCCGAAAGGUCCGCUAAUACUGCAUACGACCACCUUUCGGGGUGAGGAAAGCCGCAAGGUGCUGGAGGAGGAGCCUGCGUCCGAUUAGCUCGUUGGUGGGGUAACGGCCUACCAAGGCGACGAUCGGUAGCUGGUCUGAGAGGAUGACCAGCCAGACUGGGACUGGGACACGGCCCAGACUCCUACGGGAGGCAGCAGUUAGGAAUUUUGGGCAAUGGCCGCAAGGCUGACCCAGCAACGCCGCGUGGGGGGACGAAGGCCUUCGGUU
RNAcentral lists this ribosomal RNA (375 nucleotides) under uncultured bacterium. Its description in RNAcentral is "bacterial SSU rRNA". It matches the Rfam family "Bacterial small subunit ribosomal RNA", at positions 29 to 423 of the family's 1533-position model. The record is from RNAcentral.